Molecule: ribosomal RNA, 252 nt
Filed under: uncultured bacterium
Lineage: Bacteria
Description: partial 16S ribosomal RNA
Rfam family: Bacterial small subunit ribosomal RNA
Source: RNAcentral
UACGUAGGUCCCGGGCGUUGUCCGGAUUUAUUGGGCGUAAAGCGAGCGCAGGUGGUUUAUUAAGUCUGGUGUAAAAGGCAGUGGCUCAACCAUUGUAUGCAUUGGAAACUGGUAGACUUGAGUGCAGGAGAGGAGAGUGGAAUUCCAUGUGUAGCGGUGAAAUGCGUAGAUAUAUGGAGGAACACCGGUGGCGAAGGCAGCGCACCGGCGCCCUACUGACGCUCAGGCACGAAAGCGUGGGUAUCGAACAGG